Molecule: ribosomal RNA, 482 nt
Filed under: uncultured Sphingobacteriales bacterium
Lineage: Bacteria; Pseudomonadati; Bacteroidota; Sphingobacteriia; Sphingobacteriales
Description: bacterial SSU rRNA
Rfam family: Bacterial small subunit ribosomal RNA
Source: RNAcentral
GAUGAACGCUAGCGGCAGGCCUAAUACAUGCAAGUUGAGGGAGAAAUUUGGAGCUUGCUCUAAAUGGAAACCGGCGAACGGGUGCGUAACACGUAUGCAACCUACCUAGAUCUAAGGGAUAGCCCGAAGAAAUUCGGAUUAAUACCUUAUAAUAUGCACGAACCGCAUGGUUUGUGUCUUAAAGCUCCGGCGGAUUUAGAUGGGCAUGCGGCCUAUUAGUUUGUUGGUGAGGUAACGGCUCACCAAGACUACGAUAGGUAGGGGGUCUGAGAGGAUGAUCCCCCACACUGGUACUGAGACACGGACCAGACUCCUACGGGAGGCAGCAGUAGGGAAUAUUGGACAAUGGGCGAAAGCCUGAUCCAGCCAUGCCGCGUGCAGGAAGACGGCCCUAUGGGUUGUAAACUGCUUUUAUAUAGGAAGAAACCUUCUCACGUGUGAGAAGCUGACGGUACUAUAAGAAUAAGGACCGGCUAACUCCG